UUAUAGCAUUGUUCUUUGUGAUUUUAUCUUUCAAAUGAGUAUUUUUGGGAGAUUUUUGGGUGCCUGUAGCUAGGUUGUUUGAGCGGUGAAAGUUGGACGGUUUAAAAAUCGGUCAGGCCCACUCGUCAAUGCCUCCUUCCUUCUUUCCUGCGCUGGCUCGCUCGCCCAUUGGGCAGCGUCGGAACCGCCUGUAGGCCACCCGUCGCCGGACUGGCCGCCAUGACCUCACCCCACUCCUCCUUUAAAUGCUGACGCCGGCCUCCCCCGAAACACUAGCCAGCCACCACCUCCAAGCACCACCUCAAUUCCUUGCAGCCAGAACACCCUAGCGACGUCGCGCGUCUGUUUGAAUGUUCUCCUGCCCUUCCCUUUCCUCGUGCAGGGAGCUCGCCGGGCGCCUCUAUCCGUUGUCCCUAGCACCUCUAUUGUGCCGCCUCCUCCUUACUGCUGGGCCACUGUUGGUGAGCUCUACCACCUUGGGACACUGCCCAGCUGCUCCCCCCCCGCCAUGCCGUGCCAUCCCCCACCGUCGGCCAAGGUCACGGCCGGCCAUGUGCCGCCAGCCCCAUGCUCGUUCCAUGGGAAAGAGAAGAGAGAAGGAGAGGAGGUUUAUGGGAAAAUCCAGGGACCCAAGUGCAAGACACUAAUAGAUCUAAGGGCUGAGACGUAAAAUAACUUCGGUUUUCUUUAUUUCCUGGAGUUAGAUAGCUAAAAAGUUUGGAAAUGCAUAGAAAUGUGCAGAAAAAGUUAAAACUGCAAAACCUGUUUUGUUGUGUUUCUGUUGGUAUAUAGUUUAUUUCAAAAUUG
This 807-nucleotide long non-coding RNA is filed under the name Setaria viridis. RNAcentral's name for it is "long non-coding RNA (SVIR_LNC005563)". The record is from RNAcentral. Lineage: Eukaryota; Viridiplantae; Streptophyta; Magnoliopsida; Poales; Poaceae.